This is a non-coding RNA of Punica granatum (pomegranate), 933 nucleotides long. Lineage: Eukaryota; Viridiplantae; Streptophyta; Magnoliopsida; Myrtales; Lythraceae. The record is from RefSeq and is a predicted model, not a curated record.
AAGUAUAUGCUUGGAAGAUCCCCUUCUCAUGGACUAUACCAUCUCCCUUUUCUAAGUUCACAAACCUCUCCUGUUAAGCUCUCCCUUGUUGUCUCUCUGGAGAGCAUUUUCUUCCACUAUCAGUUCUGAACAUGGCAUCUAAGAAGAAGAAGAAGAAAAAGAAGAAGACCGAAUAGAUCGUGGCGAGAAACCGGGUUUGAUUUCGUGUUCUGUUAUCAGCUUGGGCAACUGAGGAUCCUUUGGCAUUUUUCUUGUUAUUUACUAUGGCUUCUUCAGGAGUCAGAGUUUUGAGUCGAAUUUUAGUUUUCUUCAGCGGGAGAGAAAAACAUCUGCAGCACUUUCCUGACCAUAUGCCAAUUCUUUCGUUUUCUCUCCUGACUGAUCCGGGUUAGAAUUAUAUGUAACAACGUUAUAGAUGUGAUAUCACAGUUGAAGUCGAUCAGCAUACAACUGAGCCUUUGCUUAUUCUUGCCUCUUUUUCUUGUAUUGCCUAGUAUUAUGGCAUUUCAGUUCCUUCGUUCAUCUAGUUAUGUCUUAUGAUGAGGUCCCACGAGGCUCGCUAUGACGCAACGCAUCAGACUGCCCAAAUAUUAAGUUAAUAAGAACAUCUAUCCAUCCUUCAUUUAUCUACCGGCUAAAAUAGGCACUUGAAUCGCGUGUCUGACUACUGACGGACCGAGAUCAUCUCAUCAGAAGGCAAUAGAAAGUGCCAUGCUCGUGCAAUUUCGCGCAUUGCUCAAGUUCUCGAAUUAUACCAAAAUCAAGAUGCUCAAGAAUUCAACAGUGGAAUUGCAGAUUGCGUUAACUGAUGAGCGGAUGAAGCUACUGAUUGGAUCUGCAUGUAGAUAAUACUACUGAUAUCUGCGGCAUAGGGUUGAUGUACUCCUGACAAGGAUUUCCAGCUAAUCUCAUUUCCAGGAUUUUCCGAAACCA